Molecule: ribosomal RNA, 427 nt
Filed under: uncultured bacterium
Lineage: Bacteria
Description: bacterial SSU rRNA
Rfam family: Bacterial small subunit ribosomal RNA
Source: RNAcentral
UGGGGAAUUUUGGACAAUGGGCGCAAGCCUGAUCCAGCCAUGCCGCGUGCGGGAAGAAGGCCUUCGGGUUGUAAACCGCUUUUGUCAGGGAAGAAAUCCUUUGAGCUAAUACCUGGGGUCCAUGACGGUACCGUAAGAAUAAGCACCGGCUAACUACGUGCCAGCAGCCGCGGUAAUACGGAGGAUCCAAGCGUUAUCCGGAAUCAUUGGGUUUAAAGGGUCCGUAGGCGGUUUAAUAAGUCAGUGGUGAAAGCCCAUCGCUCAACGAUGGAACGGCCAUUGAUACUGUUAGACUUGAAUUACAAGGAAGUAACUAGAAUAUGUAGUGUAGCGGUGAAAUGCUUAGAUAUAGGAAGGAACACCAGUGGCGAAGGCGACCACCUGGACUGAUACUGACACUGAGGUGCGAAAGCGUGGGGAGCAAACA